AGAAGAUCCAACGCUCUCUAGCAGGUAUGGUGUAGCAUAUGUUAAAGGUCUGCAGCAGCGCGAUGAUGGUAAAAAAGAUAUGCUUAAGGUUGCUUCUUGCUGUAAGCAUUAUACAGCUUAUGAUGUUGAUGAUUGGAAGGGAAUCCAACGUUACAAUUUCAAUGCUAAGGUAACUCAACAAGAUUUAGAUGACACGUUUAACCCCCCAUUCAAGAGUUGUGUUCUUGAUGGAAAUGUAGCCAGUGUGAUGU
RNAcentral lists this unclassified non-coding RNA (251 nucleotides) under Hevea brasiliensis (rubber tree). Lineage: Eukaryota; Viridiplantae; Streptophyta; Magnoliopsida; Malpighiales; Euphorbiaceae. The record is from RNAcentral.